GGGUGCGAUCAUACCAGCCCUAAUGCACCGGAUCCCACCAGAACUCCGAAGUUAAGCGUGCUUGGGCGAGCGUAGUACUAGCUUGGGUGACCUUUUAGGAAGUCCUCGUGUUGCACCCC
Molecule: ribosomal RNA, 119 nt
Filed under: Nelumbo nucifera (sacred lotus)
Lineage: Eukaryota; Viridiplantae; Streptophyta; Magnoliopsida; Proteales; Nelumbonaceae
Source: RNAcentral